AAAUUAUUAGAAAAGUUUUGAAAACUUUUUAAGAAGUUUGGCUUCAUAAUUUA
This 53-nucleotide transfer RNA is filed under the name Aphelenchus avenae. RNAcentral's name for it is "tRNA-Ser". Lineage: Eukaryota; Metazoa; Nematoda; Chromadorea; Rhabditida; Aphelenchidae. The record is from RNAcentral.